GGGUGGCGAUCUGGCUUCGACAUCUGUCCCCCCAUUGAUCGCCAGGGUUGAUUCGGCUGAUCUGGCUGGCUAGGAGGGUGUCCCCUUCCUCACUGCUCCAUUUGCAUUCCUCCAAAGCUGCGUGGGUCGAAGAGGACGACCAUCCCCGAUAGAGGAGGACCGGUCUUUGGUCAAGGGUAUACGAACGAGUAGCUGCGCUCCCCUGCUAGAGCCUCCAAACAAGCUCUCAAGGUCCGAUGUCACAUGCAGAACUUUGAGAUUCCUUUGAAGCAUUAAAUAGCCAACAUCUCCUCUCUCUGACCAAAGUGCCCAUCUU
This 316-nucleotide small nuclear RNA is filed under the name Cebus imitator (Panamanian white-faced capuchin). Its description in RNAcentral is "7SK RNA (ENSCCAG00000009676.1)". It matches the Rfam family "7SK RNA". From Rfam's summary of the family: 7SK was discovered as an abundant small nuclear RNA in the mid-70s but a possible function has only recently been suggested. Two independent studies have found that 7SK RNA binds the CDK9/cyclin T complex (known as elongation factor P-TEFb). Lineage: Eukaryota; Metazoa; Chordata; Mammalia; Primates; Cebidae. The record is from RNAcentral.